RNAcentral lists this ribosomal RNA (560 nucleotides) under Erwinia sp. R2-5. RNAcentral describes it as "bacterial SSU rRNA". It matches the Rfam family "Bacterial small subunit ribosomal RNA", at positions 137 to 692 of the family's 1533-position model. Lineage: Bacteria; Pseudomonadati; Pseudomonadota; Gammaproteobacteria; Enterobacterales; Erwiniaceae. The record is from RNAcentral.
AGGGGGAUAACUACUGGAAACGGUAGCUAAUACCGCAUAACGUCUACGGACCAAAGUGGGGGACCUUCGGGCCUCACACCAUCGGAUGUGCCCAGAUGGGAUUAGCUAGUAGGUGGGGUAACGGCUCACCUANGCGACGAUCCCUAGCUGGUCUGAGAGGAUGACCANCCACACUGGAACUGANACACGGUCCANACUCCUACGGGAGGCAGCAGUGGGGAAUAUUGCACAAUGGGCGCAAGCCUGAUGCANCCAUGCCGCGUGUAUGAAGAAGGCCUUCGGGUUGUAAAGUACUUUCAGCGGGGAGGAAGGGUUGCUGGUUAAUAACCAUUGACAUUGACGUUACCCGCAGAAGAAGCACCGGCUAACUCCGUGCCAGCAGCCGCGGUAAUACGGAGGGUGCAAGCGUUAAUCGGAAUUACUGGGCGUAAAGCGCACGCAGGCGGUCUGUCAAGUCAGAUGUGAAAUCCCCGGGCUUAACCUGGGAACUGCAUUUGAAACUGGCAGGCUAGAGUCUUGUAGAGGGGGGUAGAAUUCCAGGUGUAGCGGUGAAAUGCGUA